Long non-coding RNA from Uranotaenia lowii, 598 nucleotides. RefSeq lists it as uncharacterized. NCBI's taxonomy places the organism in Eukaryota, Metazoa, Arthropoda, Insecta, Diptera, Culicidae. The transcript has 3 exons. The record is from RefSeq and is a predicted model, not a curated record.
CGUUGUUUUGGUUGGCUGACUGACUGUGGAUGAUUACCGCGAUUACCAAUUUAAGAAGUUCUGACCGCACGGAAAUCAUAAUUGGCGAAGCUUGGCCGUAAAAUCAUCAUAAUUUUGCAGAUGCUGCUAUGCUGCUUUACUGGUGUCGAUGGAUGAGUGCCCUCCGCUGGGUGGUGGAAUUAUUUUCCUCACUGCUGUCGGACCCUUUGCUGGCUGGCGAACAGCAACGAAAAAGCUUAGGUCGUGUCGAUUACUUGAUUACCGUGAUGGUGAAACUGAUAGAUUGUGUGAUGCAAAGGUGGAACCGGAAAAGGAUGACUGUGAUGACCUUUCAGCGUUGGUUAGAGCAUAAGGUGAGUGCUAUUGGACGAAUGUGUCGAUAUCCGACCAGAGGCUGACUUUCUACCGAUGACCGGUGAUCCGUGUAUCAACCUGUCGACCUUCGACCAGAAGUUGAUACAGGGAGUGUGAUGGACCGAUGAUAGACAUAUCAACCUGUCGACAUUCGACCGGAGGUUGACUUAUGUUCAUGUUCAUUGUGAUGACCAACGUUACGACCGAUGUUAAACUCGUCGAUCUUCGACCAGGGGUGAAUACU